UCACUCCAUUCAGGGUCCUGGGGGUGGGGACUGUCCUUAUUGUGAGGUUUCCCAGCACGUGGCCAUCGUGGCAGGGCUGCCAGGAGAGCUCCGUGUGGGCACCACGCACCUGGGGCAGGGCAGAUGGCCCCAGGUACAGCCAAGACAAGAACAUCCCUGGGGAUGCUCCAUGAGGAGCCUGGCUGGUGCCAGGGCAGACACAUCACCCAGAACCCCCCGCCUUCGGGGUGAAGUUCUCCUGCUCUUUGAACACCCACAGCUGAAGCAUGACUUGGCCGAUUUACCUCCCAAUAUCUCACGCUGGCCUGCAGCCGAGGGCAUUAGCGACACUGCGAGCCAGAUAAAUGAUUCGAACGCUUUU
Molecule: long non-coding RNA, 361 nt
Organism: Chiroxiphia lanceolata (lance-tailed manakin)
Lineage: Eukaryota; Metazoa; Chordata; Aves; Passeriformes; Pipridae
Exons: 3
Source: RefSeq, a predicted model, not a curated record